GCACCAGACUUGCCCUCCAAUAGAUCCUCGUUAAAGGAUAUAAAGUGUACUCAUUCCAAUUACAGGGCCUCGAAAGAGUCCUGUAUUGUUAUUUUUCGUCACUACCUCCCCGCGUCGGGAGUGGGUAAUUUGCGAGCCUGCUGCCUUUCUUGGAUGUGGUAGCCGUUUCUCAGGCUCCCUCUCCGGAAUCGAACCCUGAUUCCCCGUUACCCGUGGUCACCAUGGUAGGAGCAGAAAUUACCAUCGAAAGUUGAUAGGGCAGACAUCCGAAUGCGUUGUCGCUGUCAAGGGGACAUGCGAUCGGCCC
Pelobates cultripes (western spadefoot toad) is the source of this 307-nucleotide non-coding RNA. Lineage: Eukaryota; Metazoa; Chordata; Amphibia; Anura; Pelobatidae. The record is from the annotation of a GenBank genome assembly.